Non-coding RNA from Cinara cedri, 648 nucleotides. Lineage: Eukaryota; Metazoa; Arthropoda; Insecta; Hemiptera; Aphididae. The record is from the annotation of a GenBank genome assembly.
AAUAACCGUAUGAUUGUUGGAAAUUGUGUAUUAUUAUAAUACGAGUAGUAUAUGCACGUAUAAUCACCACCGAUUUCGUAGUUGAGAAAUACAUUGUUGCUUACUUUAUUGUUUACCGCUCUGUGGUACCAUAAUGCUUUAUUCAAGUUUAUAUUCUCUGUACGAGAGUCGAAUACUUGGCACUUAAGAAGUUUACAAAGUUGUUUGACUUUCGGUAAUAAACAUGUCUAAUGUCGUAUUCUAUGUAAUACUAUUUAGAUAACAAAUAUUUUGAUUUAAGUCUCUGUGCGAAUUAUUGAUAAUCAUUAUAAUAGCAACCUAACCUAACCUAACCUAACCUACCUAGGUAUAAUAGUACAUGAUUAUUUUUUUUUUGGUAUACAUGUUUGAGUUUAUUAGGCAUUUUGAGAGUAUCACUCAAAGUCCUUUAUUGAAUAUUCAAAAGAACAAACAAGUCUGAUAAUGCUGUUAGGUAUGCCACUGUUUUAGGAGAGAAGUUUUUAGGAGGAUUUAUAGAACAAUAUAAAUUAUACCUAAUUACUAACGAACAACGGGUUUGAUAGAAGCAUAUUAUUACUCGAUUAUUUUCCUUGUGUAUAAGGUAACUCAGAAAUCAAUACAAAUUAUGACUUCCUAACUAACUAAAUC